CUGGAGGAAGAGAAAGAAAAAUCGAUUUCCUGAGUAGCGGCGAGCGAAACGGAAAGAGCCCAAACCAAGAAGCUUGCUUCUUGGGGUUGUAGGACACUCUAUACGGAGUUACAAAAGAAAGUUAUAAAUGAAGCGGUCUGGAAAGGCCCGCCAAAGACGGUAACAGCCCGGUAGUUGAAAUGGCUUUCCCUCCAGAGAGGAUCCUGAGUACGGCGGAACACGUGAAAUUCCGUCGGAAUCCGGGAGGACCAUCUCCCA
RNAcentral lists this ribosomal RNA (258 nucleotides) under Escherichia coli. RNAcentral describes it as "partial 23S ribosomal RNA". It matches the Rfam family "Bacterial large subunit ribosomal RNA", at positions 210 to 462 of the family's 2925-position model. The record is from RNAcentral. Lineage: Bacteria; Pseudomonadati; Pseudomonadota; Gammaproteobacteria; Enterobacterales; Enterobacteriaceae.